GACGGGGCCGCACAGCGGAGGACAUGUGGUUUAAUUCGAUGAUACGCGAGGAACCUUACCUGGCUUAAAUGUAGAGUGCAUUUUUUAGAGAUAGAAAUUCCUUCGGGGCUUUCUGCAAGGUGCUGCAUGGUUGUCGUCAGCUCGUGCCGUGAGGUGUCGGGUUAAGUCCCAUAACGAGCGCAACCCUUAUCGUUAGUUGCCAUCUGGUAAUGCAGGGGACUCUAGCGAAACUGCCACCGUAAGGUGAGAGGAAGGUGGGGAUGACGUCAAAUCAGCACGGCCCUUAUGUCCAGGGCUACACACGUGUUACAAUGGUCGGUACAGAGGGCAGCUACCUGGUGACAGGAUGCUAAUCUCGAAAACCGGUCUCAGUUCGGAUCGAAGUCUGCAACUCGACUUCGUGAAGCUGGAUUCGCUAGUAAUCGCGCAUCAGCUAUGGCGCGGUGAAUACGUUCCCGGGCCUU
RNAcentral lists this ribosomal RNA (464 nucleotides) under uncultured Sphingobacteriales bacterium. Its description in RNAcentral is "bacterial SSU rRNA". It matches the Rfam family "Bacterial small subunit ribosomal RNA", at positions 917 to 1381 of the family's 1533-position model. Lineage: Bacteria; Pseudomonadati; Bacteroidota; Sphingobacteriia; Sphingobacteriales. The record is from RNAcentral.